This 254-nucleotide ribosomal RNA is filed under the name uncultured bacterium. RNAcentral describes it as "partial 16S ribosomal RNA". It matches the Rfam family "Bacterial small subunit ribosomal RNA", at positions 524 to 776 of the family's 1533-position model. The record is from RNAcentral.
UACGUAGGGUGCAAGUGUUGUCCGGAAUUAUUGGGCGUAAAGAGCUCGUAGGCGGUUUGUCGCGUCUGCCGUGAAAGUCCGGGGCUCAACUCCGGAUCUGCGGUGGGUACGGGCAGACUAGAGUGAUGUAGGGGAGACUGGAAUUCCUGGUGUAGCGGUGAAAUGCGCAGAUAUCAGGAGGAACACCGAUGGCGAAGGCAGGUCUCUGGGCAUUAACUGACGCUGAGGAGCGAAAGCAUGGGGGAGCGAACAGG